Molecule: unclassified non-coding RNA, 351 nt
Filed under: soil metagenome
Description: partial contains 5.8S ribosomal RNA, internal transcribed spacer 2, and large subunit ribosomal RNA
Rfam family: 5.8S ribosomal RNA (bases 1-119)
Source: RNAcentral
GAUGAAGAAGUAGCGAAAUGCGAUAAGUAAUGUGAAUUGCAGAAUUCAGUGAAUCAUCGAAUCUUUGAACGCACAUUGCGCCCGCCAGUAUUCUGGCGGGCAUGCCUGUUCGAGCGUCAUUACAACCCUCAGGCCCCCGGGCCUGGCGUUGGGGAUCGGCGGAGCCCCCCGUGGGCACACGCCGUCCCCCAAAUACAGUGGCGGUCCCGCCGCAGCUUCCAUCGCGUAGUAGCUAACACCUCGCGACUGGAGAGCGGCGCGGCCACGCCGUAAAACACCCAACUCUUCUGAAGUUGACCUCGAAUCAGGUAGGAAUACCCGCUGAACUUAAGCAUAUCAAUAAGCGGAGGA